This is a non-coding RNA of Schizosaccharomyces pombe (fission yeast), 1118 nucleotides long. The record is from the annotation of a GenBank genome assembly. Lineage: Eukaryota; Fungi; Ascomycota; Schizosaccharomycetes; Schizosaccharomycetales; Schizosaccharomycetaceae.
GGGUCUCUUUCCCACAAAGUAGCUCGUUUGAAUAAAAAGGGAACAGAGCACGUUGCGACACUAAAAGGGCUUAUUAGAAUGGCGAACUUAAGGCACUGAUAAAUAAACUUACACCGCACUCCACACUAAAACAUUUGGAGCAGUAAUGUAGUUAAGUAAACUGGGCAUCUCAAACAGGCUUCCACAAGACACAGUAACAUUUAAAAUAUAUCCUGAACGAUCAUAUGCCUCUUGGAAAGUGAAAUCUCCAAUAAGCAGCUUCAUUACCCUUUCCAAAUGGCUGAUAUCCAAGACACAGCCUCUAGUGAAAUACUGUUUGACAGACUGUAUAACUGAUGGUGGUGCUGCAUUGGGAUCAGUAAAGACACUGAGAUCACCUGUAUGAAAUUGUCUAAGCAAAAUCUCCUGCUCUUCUUUAUUUCGGACUGCUGCCGCGCACGCAACAAUUGCACCAGCAGAUGAACCACAGAUAAUUUUAGGUACCAAACCUUGUUCAUGCAAAGACUGUAAAACACCAAUAUGUGUCAUACCAAACGUUCCACCACCACUUAAGAUCAAUGCUGUAUUGCCAGUCGUAAGUUUUAAACGAGAAAAUUCAGUAAUCUUUUCAUCCAACGAAAGAUCAGGCGUUUCCUCUAAAUACGUCAAGCACAUCAAAACCUCUUGAAUGAACUCAUCUAUCAAUUUUUUUGUCCCUGAAUGUGCAUAAUUAUAUAAUCUACUAUUAUCCAUAUUUGCAAAGUCUCUUGCAACUGAAUUUCGUAAAAGUCCAAGCAAAAGUCUCGUAUUUUUAGACAAUCGAUGUCUUCGCAGUUCAUGCAGCCGACUCUCGACUAAAACAUAGUCGUACUCAUCUGACUCCUUUUGCUCUCUCCAUUGAUAUUUUCCUGGUUCCAUUAGUAAUAAAACCAAGUAAAAUCUUACCUUCUAUGACAUCUAAUUUUUCCGCAGCUUCAAGCCAUGUUUCAUAGCUUGAAGCAUAUUCCAUCUGUAGUUUAAUUUCAUUUUUAGACAUUUACAUCGAUUAUUGACAAAAAUUAUCCAACGACGUCCUCUAAAUGUGAAACUUAACUAGUUGUAGGGAAAGGGAAGAUGAUCAUAUGGUAAGGUAAAAUAUA